GAGGGGGCAAGCGUUGUUCGGAAUUACUGGGCGUAAAGGGCGCGUAGGCGGCCUGUUAAGUCGAACGUGAAAUCCCCGGGCUCAACCCGGGAACUGCGUCCGAUACUGACAGGCUUGAAUUCGGGAGAGGGAUGUGGAAUUCCAGGUGUAGCGGUGAAAUGCGUAGAUAUCUGGAGGAACACCGGUGGCGAAGGCGGCAUCCUGGACCGAUAUUGACGCUGAUGCGCGAAAGCCAGGGGAGCAAACGGGAUUAGAUACCCCGGUAGUCCUGGCCCUAAACGAUGAAUGCUUGGUGUGGCGGGUAUCGAUCCCUGCCGUGCCGAAGCUAACGCAUUAAGCAUUCCGCCUGGGGAGUACGGUCGCAAGGCUG
Molecule: ribosomal RNA, 370 nt
Filed under: uncultured organism
Description: bacterial SSU rRNA
Rfam family: Bacterial small subunit ribosomal RNA
Source: RNAcentral